Molecule: ribosomal RNA, 440 nt
Filed under: uncultured bacterium
Lineage: Bacteria
Description: partial 16S ribosomal RNA
Rfam family: Bacterial small subunit ribosomal RNA
Source: RNAcentral
CCUACGGGUGGCAGCAGUAGGGAAUAUUGCUCAAUGGGGGCAACCCUGAAGCAGCAACGCCGCGUGGAGGAUGAAGGUUUUCGGAUUGUAAACUCCUUUUGUGAGAGAAGAUAAUGACGGUAUCUAACGAAUAAGCACCGGCUAACUCCGUGCCAGCAGCCGCGGUAAUACGGAGGGUGCAAGCGUUACUCGGAAUCACUGGGCGUAAAGAGCGCGUAGGCGGGGUAGCAAGUCAGAUGUGAAAGCCUAUGGCUUAACCGUAGAACUGCAUUUGAAACUGGUAGUCUAGAGUAUGGGAGAGGGAGGUGGAAUUCAUGGUGUAGGGGUGAAAUGCGUAGAGAUCAAGAGGAAUACUGAUUGCGAAGGCGACCUGCUAGAACAUAACUGACGCUGAUGCGCGAAAGCGUGGGGAGCAAACAGGAUUAGAUACCCGGGUAGUC